GUCAUAAAUUUAUGACUAGUUUCUGUGCUUCCCAAUGUCAUUGGUUUAGAGGAUUAUAGAACCUCAUACCCCCUUUGAUUCUGGGCCCCUGUAGCUUCCUCCCACUGCCCAUGGCUUUGUUUCACUGUGACUCUGGACUGUAUAGACUUAAGACAAUGUUUAAUAUAUUCCCUUGGAAAAUAGCCUGGUCUGAAACCACGUGGCCCCGAGAGACUUAUGGUCAGUGACAAGGAUGGCUGCUGUGCCCUGCACAGUGGUGUCCAGGUGCCCAUGACUGCUCCAUGCUGGAGUCGCGCCUCCAGUGUAGCCAAAUGACUCUAAUCUCGUGUGACUUUCAUUUCCCAAGUACUGUAGCGUCAUCUGUCAAACUGGCCUUUCUUUAAGAGACCAGGUGUUAAAGCCAUGUGGGACUGCCAGGCGACGGUCCUCUUUGUUAUCUUCUUUUUCCCAUGAACUGUUGAAGGGGAUAGUAUCAUGCCUGCCACCUGCAUGCAUGGGUGUGCAUGCAUGGGUGCUCAGUGUCACUGCAUCAUUAAUCGAAAGAUGCUGUUUUCAUUCCAUUCCAGUGCUAUCUCCUUGUUAACUUUUUCUUUUUUACAUUUAUUAUGAGCUACUGCAGUAGCUUUUAUUUUGGAUUUUACAAAUUAAUAGGAAAAGCAUUGAGCUUUGUCCUUUUUAUCUCCUAAAACUUUGAGUACUAAAAUUUGCAUUUAAAUGAAGACAGUUUCACUUUCUUUAGGCUGA
RNAcentral lists this long non-coding RNA (744 nucleotides) under Bos taurus (domestic cattle). RNAcentral's name for it is "long non-coding RNA NONBTAT009153". The record is from RNAcentral. Lineage: Eukaryota; Metazoa; Chordata; Mammalia; Artiodactyla; Bovidae.